CCUACGGGAGGCAGCAGUGGGGAAUAUUGGACAAUGGGCGAAAGCCUGAUCCAGCAAUGCCGCGUGAGUGAUGAAGGCCUUAGGGUUGUAAAGCUCUUUUACCAGGGAUGAUAAUGACAGUACCUGGAGAAUAAGCUCCGGCUAACUCCGUGCCAGCAGCCGCGGUAAUACGGAGGGAGCUAGCGUUGUUCGGAAUUACUGGGCGUAAAGCGUGCGUAGGCGGCUAUUCAAGUCAGAGGUGAAAGCCCGGGGCUCAACCCCGGAACGGCCUUUGAAACUAGGUAGCUAGAAUCUUGGAGAGGUUAGUGGAAUUCCGAGUGUAGAGGUGAAAUUCGUAGAUAUUCGGAAGAACACCAGUGGCGAAGGCGACUAACUGGACAAGUAUUGACGCUGAGGUACGAAAGCGUGGGGAGCAAACAGGAUUAGAUACCCUGGUAAGUCCACGCCGUAAACGAUGAUAACUAGCUGUCCGGGCACUUGGUGCUUGGGUGGCGCAGCUAACGCAUUAAGUUAUCCGCCUGGGGAGUACGGUCGCAAGAUUAAAACUCAAAGGAAUUGACGG
RNAcentral lists this ribosomal RNA (562 nucleotides) under uncultured bacterium. Its description in RNAcentral is "bacterial SSU rRNA". It matches the Rfam family "Bacterial small subunit ribosomal RNA", at positions 338 to 916 of the family's 1533-position model. The record is from RNAcentral.